This 394-nucleotide ribosomal RNA is filed under the name uncultured bacterium. RNAcentral describes it as "partial 16S ribosomal RNA". It matches the Rfam family "Bacterial small subunit ribosomal RNA", at positions 523 to 918 of the family's 1533-position model. The record is from RNAcentral.
AUACGUAGGGAGCGAGCGUUGUCCGGAAUUACUGGGCGUAAAGGGCGCGUAGGCGGCGCUUCAAGUCGUCUGUCAAAUGGGAGGGCUUAACCCUUUUUCGCAGACGAAACUGGAGAGCUUGAGAAGCAGAGAGGCAAACAGAAUUCCUGGUGUAGCGGUGAAAUGCGUAGAUAUCAGGAAGAAUACCAGUGGCGAAGGCGGUUUGCUGGCUGCAUACUGACGCUGAAGCGCGAAAGCCAGGGGAGCAAACGGGAUUAGAUACCCCGGUAGUCCUGGCAGUAAACGAUGUAUGCUGGGUGUGAGACUAGCGAUAGUUUCGUGCCGAAGUUAGCGCGAUAAGCAUACCGCCUGGGGAGUACGGUCGCAAGAUUGAAACUCAAAGGAAUUGGCGGGG